Molecule: ribosomal RNA, 449 nt
Filed under: uncultured bacterium
Lineage: Bacteria
Description: partial 16S ribosomal RNA
Rfam family: Bacterial small subunit ribosomal RNA
Source: RNAcentral
AACGAACGCUGGCGGCAGGCCUAACACAUGCAAGUCGAACGCCCUAGCAAUAGGGAGUGGCGCACGGGUGCGUAACGCGUGGGAAUAUGCCCUUCACUGCGGAAUAACGUUUGGAAACGAACGCUAAUACCGCAUAAUGACUCCGGUCCAAAGAUUUAUCGGUGAAGGAUUAGCCCGCGUUAGAUUAGCUAGUUGGUGAGGUAAGAGCUCACCAAGGCAACGAUCUAUAGCUGGUCUGAGAGGAUGAUCAGCCAAACUGGGACUGAGACACGGCCCAGACUCCUACGGGAGGCAGCAGUGAGGAAUAUUGGACGAUGGGCGCAAGCCUGAUCCAGCCAUGCCGGGUGAGUGAGGAAGGCCUUCGGGUUGUAAAGCUCUUUCAGUUGUAAAGAUAAUGACGGUAACAACAGAAGAAGCCCCGGCUAAAUUCGUGCCAGCCGCCGCGGUAA